RNAcentral lists this transfer RNA (72 nucleotides) under Marmota monax (woodchuck). It matches the Rfam family "tRNA". From Rfam's summary of the family: Transfer RNA (tRNA) molecules are approximately 80 nucleotides in length. Their secondary structure includes four short double-helical elements and three loops (D, anti-codon, and T loops). Further hydrogen bonds mediate the characteristic L-shaped molecular structure. tRNAs have two regions of fundamental functional importance: the anti-codon, which is responsible for specific mRNA codon recognition, and the 3' end, to which the tRNAs corresponding amino acid is attached (by aminoacyl-tRNA synthetases). tRNAs cope with the degeneracy of the genetic code in two manners: having more than one tRNA (with a specific anti-codon) for a particular amino acid; and 'wobble' base-pairing, i.e. permitting non-standard base-pairing at the 3rd anti-codon position. Lineage: Eukaryota; Metazoa; Chordata; Mammalia; Rodentia; Sciuridae. The record is from Rfam by way of RNAcentral.
UGUGGUGUAGCUCAGUGGCAGAGCACUUGCCUAGCAUGUAUGGGGCACUGGGUUUGAUCCUUAGCACCAUAU